AAGCUAAUAAUAAUAAAAUUAUGACUAAUUACUUAUACAUCUAUGAUACAAAAUUUGGAUAUAUAUUUCGGAAAGAAAUUGUUUUCAAAAGAAUCAAACAAGAGAUUUUCAUCUAAAUGAUUAUUACAAUAAGAACCCUAUAUAUUCUUUUUUUUUAAAACAAAAAACUAAUUUAUUUUAAUAGCAAGAUCACUAAAAUAUCUACUAUGCAAAUAAUUCAAUACUAAUAGUUCAUUUGAAAUCAUCUAUAUAUAUCAAGAACACAAUCUUCAAGCCAACUGUAAUAAAAGAGUUAAGUUAAAACACAAUCUUCAAGCCAACCAUCUUCCACAACAAAACAAAAUUAAUGUUGUUUUGUUAAGAAAACUCUAACAUAUACUCUCGUUAACUAAAACAUUACUUGUGAGUUGAGAGCAUCAACCCAUAAAUACAAUUUACAAAUACAAACUCAUCAUAGUCCACAAGUUCACUAUUGCAACUGUUGCUAUAAAGUAAACUUUGAAACUGAUGUCCCUUAUCAAUUUUGUCACAGUAAAAUAAUAACCAGAUAACAAUUUAAAAUAAAAUAAAAUAAAUAGCUGUUGUUACAAACAAUUAAAGACAUUUAAUGCUUCUUGGUGAUGCAGCUCCACUCCUCAUUCAUUUGUGG
RNAcentral lists this long non-coding RNA (649 nucleotides) under Vigna radiata. RNAcentral describes it as "long non-coding RNA (VRAD_LNC011107)". The record is from RNAcentral. Lineage: Eukaryota; Viridiplantae; Streptophyta; Magnoliopsida; Fabales; Fabaceae.